This 326-nucleotide long non-coding RNA is filed under the name Malus domestica (apple). Its description in RNAcentral is "long non-coding RNA (MDOM_LNC015614)". The record is from RNAcentral. Lineage: Eukaryota; Viridiplantae; Streptophyta; Magnoliopsida; Rosales; Rosaceae.
UUUCCAAUUAUCCAGCAGUGGUACUGUUCCUUUACCCUCUCUUCGAUUUUGAGAAAGUAAUCAUGUUGGGAGUCUGGCUCUCGAGAUUCGGAGGGCGGUGCCUCUUCGAUUUUGGAGCAAGCAAUCUUGUUGGGAGUGUUUUCUUGAAUGUGAGUAAAGGUUGGGCAUGUUUGCUAGUCUACCUUGCCACGAAGCACAAAGGUUGACACACAGGGACUUUCCAAUUAUCCAGCAGUGGUACUGUUCCUUUACCCUCUCUUCGAUUUUUGAGAAAGUAAUCAUGUUGGGAGUCUGGCUCUCGAGAUUCGGAGGGCGGUGCCUCUUCG